This is a transfer RNA of Candidatus Xiphinematobacter sp. Idaho Grape, 72 nucleotides long. It matches the Rfam family "tRNA". Rfam says of the family: Transfer RNA (tRNA) molecules are approximately 80 nucleotides in length. Their secondary structure includes four short double-helical elements and three loops (D, anti-codon, and T loops). Lineage: Bacteria; Pseudomonadati; Verrucomicrobiota; Spartobacteria. The record is from Rfam.
AGGGGCGUAGCUCAAUGGCAGAGCAGGCGGCUCAUAACUGCUUGGUUCCCGGUUCGAGUCCGGGCGCCCCUA